Molecule: ribosomal RNA, 567 nt
Filed under: uncultured bacterium
Lineage: Bacteria
Description: partial 16S ribosomal RNA
Rfam family: Bacterial small subunit ribosomal RNA
Source: RNAcentral
UGGGGAAUAUUGCACAAUGGGCGCAAGCCUGAUGCAGCCAUGCCGCGUGUGUGAAGAAGGCCUUCGGGUUGUAAAGCACUUUCAGCGAGGAGGAAGGUGGUGGACUUAAUACGUUCAUCAAUUGACGUUACUCGCAGAAGAAGCACCGGCUAACUCCGUGCCAGCAGCCGCGGUAAUACGGAGGGUGCAAGCGUUAAUCGGAAUUACUGGGCGUAAAGCGCACGCAGGCGGUUUGUUAAGUCAGAUGUGAAAUCCCCGGGCUCAACCUGGGAACUGCAUUUGAAACUGGCAAGCUAGAGUCUCGUAGAGGGGGGUAGAAUUCCAGGUGUAGCGGUGAAAUGCGUAGAGAUCUGGAGGAAUACCGGUGGCGAAGGCGGCCCCCCUGGACGAAGACUGACGCUCAGGUGCGAAAGCGUGGGGCAGCAAACAGGAUUAGAUACCCUGGUAGUCCACGCUGUAAACGAUGUCGAUUUGGAGGUUGUGCCCUUGAGGCGUGGCUUCCGGAGCUAACGCGUUAAAUCGACCGCCUGGGGAGUACGGCCGCAAGGUUAAAACUCAAAUGAAUUG